AGGCCAAUGAGGAUUAUUAUCUUUUUAAGUUGGAAUUACCGACUGAAUCACCGUGAUGACACAGAUCGACUAUCUGAGGCCUCGA
Camellia sinensis is the source of this 85-nucleotide non-coding RNA. NCBI's taxonomy places the organism in Eukaryota, Viridiplantae, Streptophyta, Magnoliopsida, Ericales, Theaceae. The record is from RefSeq and is a predicted model, not a curated record.